AACUGAUCAGGAGAGUUCCUCAGUAGACCCACUGGAAAAGAGUGAGGUGAAUGAAAGUGGCUUUGAUGAAGACAUGAUGGAGGUGGAGAGUCCAGUAGCUCUAACUGAUGACACCCAUCAGAAGAAUCUGCUUAUCCAUGUGACCCCACCUUUGGUUUGCAGCUUAGAAGAGUGCAUUUCCGAUGGGUUCCACAAAGGAUCUAAAGCACAAAUAAAUGAGAGGCAAGAAGCUGUUAGCACCCAAAAAAGUACCGUUAUAGGGGGAUAUGAGCAGAGAUCUCUGCACAAUUACUCUAUGAGUGAAGACAUUGUACAAAACCAUCAAGCAGCAACAGAACCAACUUCUGUGUCUCCAACAAAACUCCUUGAGGACCAGAGACAACAUGUAGAUGUGGAGGAACACAAACAGCUCUCCCACACACGAGCAAGACGUACCUCCUCACAGUCAGCUAAGGCCUGUAGCCAAACAGAAAAACUUCUGAAUAGAACAGGUACAGAACUUUAUCAGACACACAAGUGGCAAACUAACCCUGACUUGUGACAUGAAUUCCUCUAGACUUCUGUCUGAAUAUCUCUAUUUGUGCAAACUGUGAAGACAGUGCUGUUAUUAUUCUGUAUUUUGCUUUUAUAGCCUCAGCAAAGGUCAAGGAGCACCUGAAGCCUGGAGACAGUAUUCCCAAAGAUUCUGAAGAAACCUCAGACCACUGGGCAAAGAAACGCAGGCUGUUCAAGGAGAGCAGACAGUGGGGUUCUACAGAAGAGAGUUCCAUGACUAGCAACAUCACUGACGAAUCAGACACCAUGAAUUCUGAGGACACCCGCUCAGUUGACAUGACACUCCGAGACAUUGAAGAGAGAGGUUUUUAUACUGAGACGUUCCACUCAGCAUCAUGGAUUUAUCGGGGAGAUGACUCCAAUCCAAAUGAAACGAUACAAUGCCUUAGUAACCGCCCUCGACCUAUAGCAGUUCGUGAACGAACUGUGAAAAUCAGCAAAGGAAUGGGAGAAUAUCCGUGGGGGUUCAGAAUUCAGUAUUCCAAACCAAUUAUUGUGACAGAAGUUGACACAA
Molecule: long non-coding RNA, 1069 nt
Organism: Pangasianodon hypophthalmus (striped catfish)
Lineage: Eukaryota; Metazoa; Chordata; Actinopteri; Siluriformes; Pangasiidae
Exons: 3
Source: RefSeq, a predicted model, not a curated record